This 253-nucleotide ribosomal RNA is filed under the name uncultured bacterium. Its description in RNAcentral is "partial 16S ribosomal RNA". It matches the Rfam family "Bacterial small subunit ribosomal RNA", at positions 524 to 776 of the family's 1533-position model. The record is from RNAcentral.
UACGUGGGGGGCAAGCGUUGUUCGGAAUUAUUGGGCGUAAAGGGCUCGUAGGCGGCCAACUAAGUCAGACGUGAAAUCCCUCGGCUUAACCGGGGAACUGCGUCUGAUACUGGAUGGCUAGAGGUUGGGAGAGGGAUGCGGAAUUCCAGGUGUAGCGGUGAAAUGCGUAGAUAUCUGGAGGAACACCGGUGGCGAAGGCGGCAUCCUGGACCAAUUCUGACGCUGAGGAGCGAAAGCCAGGGGAGCAAACGGG